AGGAAUAACUGACUCUUUUCUUGUUAUGAAAAGUAUUUAGCUACUGGUAUAACAGACCAUGGGGCUUGGAGUCAGAAAGAUUCAUUUUCCUGAAUUUAAAUCUUGUCUCAGACACUAACUGUGUGACCCUGGGCAAGUUACUUAAUUGUAUUUGACUAAAUUUCUUCAUCUGUAAACUGAGCUGGAGAAGGAAAUCACUGAUGACGGAUAUAACUACAGGCUAAAAAAUGCAUUGCUUCGGCCUGGGGAUUCCUAGUGUUAAAGAGUUGGAGAAACACAGCUGGAAGAGGAACCAGGAGGUUGGUAUACCCACCCUAGAUUCUUAAAAGUGUCCUAAAUCAGGAGAGAGCCUCUAACUCAUUUUCAUCCUAUCCCCCUCACUGUUAAUAUCUAAGGCCACCGAAGGUGGAAACCUAUUCAUCUUUCAGGAUUACGCUCUGCCAGGGAGGAGGGGUGAAGUGGUCUAAGCACCCACGUACUGACUCUGGGAGGCAGCAACAGUGGCGGAUCCCAAGACUGCUGUUGUUGCUGCAAACCGGUCUCUCUUCCUUGCAGGGUGUGCAGAGAUGGAGAAAGGGGGAGGAGAAAAAAGGGGAAGCGCCUGGGCCUUGGCCGCCAGCGGGCGGGGCCUCCAGUGCCUAACAGCUAGUUUGGUCUUUCUGCGGCUCUCGCGCACUGCGCUCGGGCAGCCGUAGCCGCAGCCGCAGUCGGAGCCGGAGCCUUCAGCCUCAGCUUCAGCCUCAGCCUCCGACUCCUGGGCGAUGUCAGUUGUUUCACGCUUCCUCUAACCCUCUGCACUAGGAGGAGGAGGUGGAGAAAGAAAUACAAGAGGAAAGGACUACGUUACAAGAGACUUUAUUGCCUUAGGAAGAGAGGUGCAUGGUAUUUGCUGCUCAGCUUCAAAACCAGGCAAUUGGUGGCUCUUCUCUGGCCCCAGUGACCAACUGGGAAAGGAAGGAAAAAGAACUGGAGACGCGCGCCCCCCCCCCCCCCCCCCACUCCCUCCAUACACGCACGCACGCACACACACACAGUUUUAAGAGAGUUUGCACAGAGAGCUGAAAAGCUUCAGCCCUUCACUCCCAGUUCCAGCCCCAGCUGUUCUGAGGCUCCGGUCGGCGUUGCUAUCCGCCUUCUCACCUCUUCUCGACUUCCUCCAGUCCCGGCCAGCCUGCAGCUCGUCAGCUUCUCCUCUCUCUACUUCCUCUUAUCAGUCCAGCUGCUUCUCAGUCCAAGAGGAGCCACCACCGCAGCAGCAGCAGCAGCAACAACAACAGCAACAUCCCCGGAACUAACAGACUGUGGCGCAACUGGUCUGGGGAGCGCAGGCCCUGAGAUCCUACCCCAAGGACCUGUCCAUUUUGUCUGGCUUAGAGCAUGCAUGAAAACUUACUUAGUCCUCCCUUAUGUCUUCUUUUGGAUAUACUCUUGUGCUUGGGGGUGAGAAAU
This 1449-nucleotide long non-coding RNA is filed under the name Sarcophilus harrisii (Tasmanian devil). Its description in RNAcentral is "lncRNA (ENSSHAG00000024520.1)". The record is from RNAcentral. Lineage: Eukaryota; Metazoa; Chordata; Mammalia; Dasyuromorphia; Dasyuridae.